This is a long non-coding RNA of Leopardus geoffroyi (Geoffroy's cat), 657 nucleotides long. RefSeq lists it as uncharacterized. The transcript is spliced from 3 exons. NCBI's taxonomy places the organism in Eukaryota, Metazoa, Chordata, Mammalia, Carnivora, Felidae. The record is from RefSeq and is a predicted model, not a curated record.
UUGCCUUUUCAUAGGUGUUUCCCUUUGUUUACAAUGCCACUCAGUCUUUCUUCAAUGAGGUUGUGUCUGUUCUUCAUUCAAGACUCAAGUCUUAGGUCAUUUCUUCUGGGAAGACUUCCUUGACUCUUCUCCUUAUACAUGGAAGUCCCUCAAGUGGGAAGAACAGCUUCUGAGUCCCAAGAACAAUGGGAAAACGUUUUCAGACUGUUGUCAUCUCAUCAUUGGAUCUGGAAAAUGACACUUGUGUCUCAAUAGGCCAGAAGCCUUCUGUUUGCUCUGCACACCUGAUAACAGCACACUCCCUGCAUUGCACGCUAUGGAGAAAUAAUGACCGCGAUGGCACCAAAGGGCCUCAGCAAUUUGCAACGCUGACUGACGGAGCAGCCCUGGACAGCUGGGCUUCCUUGAAUGAGACUCCCUCCCUGGAAGUACACAGGUCUGCGUGACACCACUUGCUGGUGGCUGCAAGGGACGGGGAACUUGUGAGGACAGGGUAGCCUUUAGUUGUUUAUGUAGUGCCAAGGGGUCCCACCACCUCUUUUGGACUCAGAGUUUCCUAUCAAAACACACUCCCUGGAAUAGCUGAUGCAAAUUCCAUAGUAAGAGCUUAAUUUAAUACAAACUUCAUUACAGUCACAUCUUCCAUCUAGAUUUUAU